GAUGAACGCUGGCGGCGUGCCUAAUACAUGCAAGUCGAGCGAACAGACGAGGAGCUUGCUCCUCUGACGUUAGCGGCGGACGGGUGAGUAACACGUGGAUAACCUACCUAUAAGACUGGGAUAACUUCGGGAAACCGGAGCUAAUACCGGAUAAUAUAUUGAACCGCAUGGUUCAAUAGUGAAAGACGGUUUUGCUGUCACUUAUAGAUGGAUCCGCGCCGCAUUAGCUAGUUGGUAAGGUAACGGCUUACCAAGGCGACGAUGCGUAGCCGACCUGAGAGGGUGAUCGCCCACACUGGAACUGAGACACGGUCCAGACUCCUACGGGAGGCAGCAGUAGGGAAUCUUGCGCAAUGGGCGAAAGCCUGACGGAGCAACGCUGCGUGAGUGAUGAAGGUCUUCGGAUCGUAAAACUCUGUUAUUAGGGAAGAACAAAUGUGUAAGUAACUAUGCACGUCUUGACGGUACCUAAUCAGAAAGCCACGGCUAACUACGUG
RNAcentral lists this ribosomal RNA (497 nucleotides) under uncultured bacterium. Its description in RNAcentral is "partial 16S ribosomal RNA". It matches the Rfam family "Bacterial small subunit ribosomal RNA", at positions 28 to 507 of the family's 1533-position model. The record is from RNAcentral.